AAACUGGGAUUAGAUACCCCACUAUGCUUAGCCCUAAACAUAAAUAUUCAAUCAACAAGACUAUUCGCCAGAGUACUACUAGCUACAGCUUAAAACUCAAAGGACUUGGCGGUGCUUUAUAUCCCUCUAGAGGAGCCUGUUCUAUAAUCGAUAAACCCCGCUAUACCUUACCACCUUUUGCAUAUCAGCCUAUAUACCGCCAUCUUCAGCAAACCUUAAUAAGGUUUCAUAGUAAGCGCAAUAAUACACAUAAAAACGUUAGGUCAAGGUGUAGCCUAUAAGGUGGAAAGCAAUGGGCUACAUUUUUUAUCUUAGAAUAAUAACGUUAACUUUCAUGAAACUGAAGAGUCUAAGGCGGAUUUAGUAGUAAGCCAAGAAUAGAGAGCCUGGCUGAAUUGGGCAAUAAACCA
This 410-nucleotide ribosomal RNA is filed under the name Funambulus palmarum (Indian palm squirrel). Its description in RNAcentral is "partial 12S ribosomal RNA". It matches the Rfam family "Bacterial small subunit ribosomal RNA", at positions 769 to 1381 of the family's 1533-position model. Lineage: Eukaryota; Metazoa; Chordata; Mammalia; Rodentia; Sciuridae. The record is from RNAcentral.